This 259-nucleotide ribosomal RNA is filed under the name uncultured archaeon. RNAcentral's name for it is "partial 16S ribosomal RNA". It matches the Rfam family "Archaeal small subunit ribosomal RNA", at positions 748 to 1009 of the family's 1478-position model. The record is from RNAcentral.
CAGCCGUAAACUAUGCUCGCUAGGUGUCAGGCAUGGCGCGACCGUGUCUGGUGCCGCAGGGAAGCCGUGAAGCGAGCCACCUGGGAAGUACGGCCGCAAGGCUGAACUUAAGGAAUUGGCGGGGGAGCACCACAACGGGUGGAGCCUGCGGUUUAAUUGGACUCAACGCCGGGAAGCUCACCGGAUAAGACAGCGGAAUGAUUGCCGGGCUGAAGACUCUGCAUGACUAGCUGAGAGGUGGUGCAUGGCGUAGACGUGU